RNAcentral lists this long non-coding RNA (416 nucleotides) under Homo sapiens (human). RNAcentral's name for it is "non-protein coding lnc-ZNF792-1:3". The record is from RNAcentral. Lineage: Eukaryota; Metazoa; Chordata; Mammalia; Primates; Hominidae.
CGAGGCGCGCUCCGCACCUGGCCUGAAAGCGGGAGAUUUGGCAACCAGUGCGCGUGGGUGCGCCGGCCCUUGCAGCUGGGGACUCUGGAGGCAGACCUUGCCCAAAGCCAGAGGCAGGAACUCCCCAGAUCCUCCCAGGGUAGCAUGGGAGGAUGCCGCCUCCUCCAGGAAGCUCUCUAGCGCUUUUCCGAGUCCUGGAGCCAGGCGGGACUUCUCUGUGGUCGCCUAGAAGGAGACCAACAAUUGUCAGCACAGCAAAACUGGGCAUUUCUUUUCUUACUGAGCUUUGCAGCUACCUACACAGUUGUGUGUGGCAUCUCCUCCUGGGUGCAAGGACAUGAGAUGACAUCAGCUACGAGCCUAUAUCCUUCAACCCUUGGAAGCCACUGAUCUGCUUUCUGUUUCUAUGGAUCCCC